RNAcentral lists this microRNA (24 nucleotides) under Fasciola hepatica (liver fluke). RNAcentral describes it as "fhe-miR-307". Its record names the gene fhe-miR-307. Lineage: Eukaryota; Metazoa; Platyhelminthes; Trematoda; Plagiorchiida; Fasciolidae. The record is from miRBase by way of RNAcentral.
AUCACAACCUACUUGAUUGAGGGG